This 107-nucleotide small nuclear RNA is filed under the name Theropithecus gelada (gelada). Lineage: Eukaryota; Metazoa; Chordata; Mammalia; Primates; Cercopithecidae. The record is from RNAcentral.
GUGCUUGUUUUGGCAGCACAUACACUAAAAUUGAAACAAUAUAGAGAAGAUCAGCAUGAUCCCUGUACAUGGAUGACACACAAAUUUGUGAAGUGUUCUAUAUUUCU